This 70-nucleotide transfer RNA is filed under the name Sphaerodactylus townsendi. RNAcentral describes it as "tRNA-Thr". Lineage: Eukaryota; Metazoa; Chordata; Lepidosauria; Squamata; Sphaerodactylidae. The record is from RNAcentral.
AUCCAUGGCUCAAUGGUAGAACAUCUGCUUGGUAUGCAGAAGGCCUCACGUUCUAUCCCUGGCAUCUGUA